Molecule: long non-coding RNA, 273 nt
Organism: Vidua chalybeata
Lineage: Eukaryota; Metazoa; Chordata; Aves; Passeriformes; Viduidae
Exons: 3
Source: RefSeq, a predicted model, not a curated record
GUGAACAGCAAAUUGACAAGUUUGUGGUGAAAGCUGCGACACUUUAAAGGACAUAUAAUCUGCUGUGCUUUUCAAAAUCCCCAAAUAGUUAUCAGUGUUGCUGUUUGUCUUGGAACUGCAGUUUUCCAUGAAAGAAAGCCUGGUUUAGUCAAGAUAAGUGACCAAAACCAUACUAGAUUGCCAGAAUUCUUGAGCCUGACUGGAAAGUAAUUCUCUGAAGAGGUGGAAGAGCACGACGCUGCUGUGCACUGGUGUCUGGCUGCUGCCCUGCUG